UUGAACGCUGGCGGCAGGCCUAACACAUGCAAGUCGAGCGGAUGAAGGGAGCUUGCUCCUGGAUUCAGCGGCGGACGGGUGGGUAAUGCCUAGGAAUCUGCCUGGUAGUGGGGGAUAACGUCCGGAAACGGGCGCUAAUACCGCAUACGUCCUGAGGGAGAAAGUGGGGGAUCUUCGGACCUCACGCUAUCAGAUGAGCCUAGGUCGGAUUAGCUAGUUGGUGGGGUAAAGGCCUACCAAGGCGACGAUCCGUAACUGGUCUGAGAGGAUGAUCAGUCACACUGGAACUGAGACACGGUCCAGACUCCUACGGGAGGCAGCAGUGGGGAAUAUUGGACAAUGGGCGAAAGCCUGAUCCAGCCAUGCCGCGUGUGUGAAGAAGGUCUUCGGAUUGUAAAGCACUUUAAGUUGGGAGGAAGGGCAGUAAGUUAAUACCUUGCUGUUUUGACGUUACCAACAGAAUAAGCACCGGCUAACUUCGUG
Molecule: ribosomal RNA, 483 nt
Filed under: uncultured bacterium
Lineage: Bacteria
Description: partial 16S ribosomal RNA
Rfam family: Bacterial small subunit ribosomal RNA
Source: RNAcentral